RNAcentral lists this ribosomal RNA (468 nucleotides) under uncultured bacterium. RNAcentral describes it as "partial 16S ribosomal RNA". It matches the Rfam family "Bacterial small subunit ribosomal RNA", at positions 28 to 507 of the family's 1533-position model. The record is from RNAcentral.
GACGAACGCUGGCGGCGUGCUUAACACAUGCAAGUCGAACGGUGAAGCCGUGUGUUUUUGUGGGCCUCGAGUGGCUAACGGAUGAGUGACUAGUGCGUAACCUACCUUCGACCUUCUGAUGACUUAAGGAAACUAGGGCUAAUACCGGAUAGGUGUUCCUGCUGCGUCGCAGGAUUUGUAUAGUUGCGGUGGCUGGCUAUGGGCUCGUUGCUUAUCAGUUUGUUGGUGGGGUAGUGGCUUGGCAAGGCGGUGAUGGGUAGCCGGGCUGACAGGGUGACCGGGAACAUUCGGACUGAGCUACGGCACGGACUAGUGCGGGAGGCAGCAGAGGGGAAGAUAGCAUGAUGGGCGGAAGCCUGAUGCGGCAACGCCGCGUGCGGGAUGUCAGCCUUCGGGGUGUAAACCGCAGGCGUGUGUGACGAAGCGGGAGUGACGGUAAUGGGUAAAGAAGCGCCGGCUAACUACGUG